GGUUCUAUGGUGUAAUGGUCAGCACUCUGGACUUUGAAUCCAGCGAUCCGAGUUCAAGUCUCGGUAGAACCU
This 72-nucleotide transfer RNA is filed under the name Atractosteus spatula (alligator gar). It matches the Rfam family "tRNA". From Rfam's summary of the family: Transfer RNA (tRNA) molecules are approximately 80 nucleotides in length. Their secondary structure includes four short double-helical elements and three loops (D, anti-codon, and T loops). The record is from Rfam by way of RNAcentral. RNAcentral also lists the same sequence under 1 other name. Lineage: Eukaryota; Metazoa; Chordata; Actinopteri; Semionotiformes; Lepisosteidae.